CUGCUGGCUGCCCACUUUGACUCUUAAUAGUCUGGAAGGAACUUUGCACGCGAGACCAGGAACGUCAUCUGGUAGACUGCUGCGCGUGUAGUAGUUUGAGCCAGCGCGCAUCCCGUAGAAGUAGCAAAAAAAAAACAGUGCAUGUGUUAAAGCAGCUGGAGGCCCUAUGCUUCUGAUGGUGCAGCAGCUCUGGUGAGUCCUGGGUGACCUUACUGAACUAGCAAAGAACUGAGCAUUGCAAGUGCUCCUACCUCCCAGUUAUACUCCCCACCAGCCUCACAUUCAUAGCCAGUUACACUGUAUUAAUACAUCAAGGUAAGGCUAAGGAAGGGAUUUUGAUCAAGUUAGCCCAUCUAUAGAGAGUUAUUUACUAAAGUGGGAAUUGUUAAGAAUUCGAAGUGAAUUUAAAUAUUAGGUCAAAAUAGCAAAAGGUCUCAGAAGAGAAUGAUCUAAGACUGGAUGGUUAAGAUGGUGCCUGGGGACUUCAGAUACCAUAGCUACUUCAUUAAGAGGUAAUGGUUAUGGUGCCAGGAAUGAGCGCUGUCAAAUCUGCGACAAUAUGAAAUUCACCCUGAAUUCCCAAUAGGUCACACUUCAGCGACAAACACUGCUAAUAUGUGAGAAUUUACAGAUUACUUUGUAAAGAUAGAGAAGUGGAAAUUGCAGAUGAAGUAGCUAUUCGCCAGAAUGUGUAUUGAUGGGAAUUGUGAGUGAAUAUCCAACAAUGCGCACUUCAGUCAAUAACCCAGUACAGUAGACUGUUACUGGUUUCAGAGACCUAACAGGACCUAAGAUUUCAAGCGCUGAUUUAGUAUCUCAGUGUAUCUUAGUGUAUUUUAGUGAUUUGAAGUGGUAAUGGUUCCUGGUGUUGGUUUUCCUUUGAAACCCUGCACACACCCUACCAUAGGUGUAACUCCACCUCUGGCACCCUGCAAGAGGUGUAACUCCACCUCGAGCAGCGUUACUAGGACAUCAUUUAACACUACAGAACAAAACUUCAUUAGCUGGCUAAGGUCAGUUUUUUUUGCACUUUGGACACCUGUCAUCAGAACGUAUAACAGGUGUCCAAUGGACAUGAGCUACCUCUCCCUACCACCAAGUCCUCCUCUUAGCUCGUCAUCCCUGAAAUCCCUUCCUUGCGGCUAGGGGCAAUGACGUCAACAGAGGAAGAUUGGGUUGCUGGUAAACUUGGCUUUGGUGCUGCAGGGAGGUAUGUUAACUUUUUUUUUUAAUUAAGGGACAAUGAUAGGAAGGGUUACUCUAACCAAAGACAAUGUUUUAUAAAACACUGUUUUUUGUUUGGAGUAACCCGUCAUGUUUUUUUGAGUACAGUAAUAUAGGAUAGUGAAAAUGAGUGUGCUUAUUAGUGGAUGUGAUUCAUCUCAAAUUGGCUCUGUAUCCCCCUCCAAUGAAGCAUUUCAUAAAAAUAAAAUAUUUGUGAAAUGCUCAUAGAGGACUGUUGGAAUUUAAGAAACAUUCCAACGCAGUCAAAAGAUAGAACAAAGCAGGGACUACUUUGUCUUAUGGCAAAUUCUCAAGUUGACAAAUCGUGGAGCUACCGAUAUCAAGUUUUGUCACGUUCUACAGCCAUCGCUAAUGGAUGUGGGAGUGAGGCAUUAUCUUACUCAUUGUGAGAUAAUAUCUGUGGAGGCUAUAUUGGGAUCCUCCAUAGACAUAAGAGUUGUACUCUCACACAUGUAUGAAAGUACCGCAAUGACGUGAUCUCCUGGCAGAAGACAUGCCAGGAGCUGAAAAUCAAAGUAAGUAAUUGGAUUACUUAUUGAUAGCACUUUUUGAGCCAGAGCAUGUUUUAGUUUGGCCUGCAAAAUUAUGAUGACUUUAUAGUGAUUGAUACCAGACAGGCGUAAGAUGCUGAAUACUAAGUUCAGGUGAGAGAAAGGGAAUGAUCCCUCUAAAUGGCAUGAAUGACUGACACCCAGUUGCGGUUAAACUUAUUUGUAUCUUUUAAUCUGCAUACAGUAAAAGUCAUAAACUUAUAAAAGCAUUAGCUUUUUUUUACACCAAGGUAAUUGAGUAUGCAGUUUUGGGAGGUUUAACAGUAUUUGCAGACUUUCCAUGGAUAGAUUUUCACAGAGUAGUAGAAUUGGAAGGUGAUAUGAUUCUUAUAGCCGUUUCUAUAUUCUUUGUCUGAGUAAGCUUUAUUAACGACUUACAUUGUUUGGGUAAGGUAUUUCUUGAUCAUCACAUGCUGGCCAUGUGUUACUUAUUGAGUAUUGUAGAAAGCUCUUCACAUUUAAUUACAUGGAAGAGAUGAUUCCAUUUUCUUGCCCUUUGUGGUAAAGACAUUUUUUGCAUUUAGCACAAUUAAACGGCUACCCCAAGCACCAUGACUUCGUCAGAGAUUUGAAGUGGUCAUGGUGCCUGGAGUCUGUAUAGGAAUCAUUUCACUAUUAAACAGAGAGUGUGUGUGUAUGUGUGUGUGUGUGUGUGUGUGUGUGUGUGUGUGUGUGUGUAUAUAUAUAUAUAUGUGUGUAUAUAUAUAUAUAUAUAUAUAUAUAUAUAUAUAUAUAUAUAUAUAUAUAUAUAUAUAUACACACACAAAACCUGUAUGAUAGAGGCGCUUAAAUAUUGAUAAUAUCAGGUGAGGUUAGGCUACAACACUCUAUUGGGGACCCCUCUCACCCAUCAACAUCAUGCAAAAAAGAGAAAGUGGGCUUGGUUGUGUCCUCACUGCACGUGACUGGGGGAACUCUGGCAGUCAGCUUGGAGGGACCCUCUCUGGGAACAGCAGAGACCAGCAACACGCGUCCGCAUUACAGGUGGGUAGUUCUCCCAGUGAGUGCCAAGUUUCUCUGUCUUUUAUACCUUUUAGCAAGUUUGUAACUUUUCCAAGAUUUCUUAUCAGUGCAGCCCAGCAUGUAUCUUGUCAUGCGCAUUAGGUCAUCAGUAUGGUUGAUCAGGCCAGUCGUGACCACCCAAGGCUCAUGCCAGAUACGUGCGGUAUCUUAUUCUCUCUAUGUCCCUACUCUUAUCUCUCCAUACAUUUGUUGGCACCAAUUCCCUCUGUUCAUCACGUAGGCCUUUUUGGAUAUUGUCCAGACAUGCUAUGGAAUAUUCCAGGCAAUGUUGAAUUUCUUAGUGCGACACAGUUUAAGCAUUUUAUGCAAUGUCAUCAUAGCUGAAUUUCUUGGUGCGACACAAGCUGAAUUUCUUGGUGCGACACAAGCUGAAUUUCUUAGUGCGACACAAGCUGAAUUUCUUAGUGCGACACAAGCUGAAUUUCUUAGUGCGACACAAGCUGAAUUUCUUAGUGCGGCACAAGUUGAAUUUCUUAGUGCGACACAGUUUAAGCCAAGUGCCAUCUUAACUAUCUAUGAUAGAUUAAUUUGCUCAUUAGUGAUCAAUCAAUCAUUCUUAAUUAGUUAAUUGGAUUUUAUCACAAUUAUCACAAUAUCGUAGAGAUAAUGUGUCAGAACAUGAAACAAUAAGUUUACGGUUGAACAGCCAUAGAUGUAAUUGUUCUGUGGUUCUAAUAGGUAGUUAAACUGUUUUUGAGUUUCAGCUGAAAUCAUUUGUCACAAGAAGACAAUUGAUAUUGCAUAACUUUCUGUAAAUAAAUGAAAUCUUUAUCAAGAUUUUUUUUCAUUCUGUUUCCCUUUUAUGGUCUAGAUUUUGAUUGAGGGGUGAUAUUCAGUACCAAAAACGUACAGUGGUGCAAAGGAUCAGACACGGCAGGAUUUUGUGUUUUUUCUGGCAUGCGUUGUUUAAACACCAACACAUUUCAUAAACUCAAUAAAAUAGUACAGUUACACUAUAUACACUAUAAAUAUCUUAGAUAGUUAAUGCUGUUUGGCUAGGGCUGUGUUUGACUUGUGCUGGCUCUAAUCUGCCUCCUUGACCGUCUCAGCCAAACCUAUGGGGAAGCACUGUGGCUUACAGAAUCACUUCUGAUAAUGUCAGCUGUAAGCAGGCAGAUCAGGGGCAGAGGCAGCAGCUGCAGAUUUGAAUACAAGUACAGUUUCCCUAUAAAUAGGGAGACCAGGGGUGCUAGACGGUGGUUUUAACAAUAUAGGUUCAGUGUGAUGGGCUAAUCGCCAAAGUGCGCUCUGUUCGGUGCUACCCACGUGGAGAUAUCCACCGCAGAGAGAGGUGAGCCCUAUGGAACUAUGACUCGGCUUCACAGCCACAGGGUCCCGCUGGCCGCUUGGAAGUCUGUCCAGCCAAUAGGAGAAGGGCCACCAUUCAAACUGGUUUUGCAUCCUUUCUCCCGAUUUGUCUGGCGAAACACCUUCCCUCCCUGAUCGCCGAUUGGUGCAAAUUGGUUUGCGCCCUUUUUCCUGAUUGGCUGCGUGGUUUAGGCGGGAAAUUUAUAUCACCAGCCGAAACGAAGUGAUUCUGUGAAGCUAUUUUGGGGUAUGUACAGAGCCUCAAACCCAGACUUUCGACAACAUGCAUCUUGGGUCAGACAUUGUUUGCAAGCCGACAGUCCGUUUGAUCAUAUCAAAGAGUUUUUCUAUUUUUUUAUUUUUUUUUAUAUAUAUUUUAUUUAAAAAAGAAUCUAUUUUGUUUGAAAACUUGGUGAAGGUAUUUUAAAUAAUAUUGUUGAGGUGACAGUUGUCCUUUAAGGAGCUACCAAGAAUAAACAGAACAUGAUGUCUGUUAGCUAAAAAGAGAAUCUGUUAUACUGUAAUUUCCUUUUAGAUGUUGAGUAAAAUUUGAAAAAACAAACAAAAAAAACGUACAUUUGAUGAAAUUAUUGAACACUGGAGCAUUUUCUAACUCUAACUCUUGUGGCCUGCCUGCCGCGCGGAGUGUUGCCAUGGUAACCGGUGGCAACGCUCUGACAGCCACGGGACUUGCGAGAUUUAGACAGGGGAGCUGAAGGGAGCUGCUGGGAAGGGAAGAUCUUGCUGGGCCCCCAGGACCGUCUGGCUUGUCAUGGGCCCGGCGGUCCUGAUUGGCAAUAUCGGUAUCUUUAUUGGCCGAUACCGAGAUUGCAGAGAAUACUGAAUAUCGUCCGAUAAUAUCGUCCAUACCGAUAAUCGGUCGAUCCCUUAUAAAAUUAGUAAUAAAAUAAAACAUAUACAUACAUUUAAUACCUAUUAUAGGAAGAAAGGGGGAAAAAAUAUAUACAAAUUACAAUACAUAUUUAAAAUGCGAGUUAGUUAAAAAUAUUUUUUAAUAAAACAUGUAUCCUAAUAAAGUGAAUAGGUGCAUAUUCAGGGAUUUGACUUGUGCUUUCAUUGUCUGGAAUAAAGUACCUGUAAACAUUAACAAGAAAAGGAAAGCAAUUUUACACAGCAGCGCAUAUGUAAUUACAUGCAUACAGUUUAUCCACAGAAUCGUAUUGGACCAUGCAGAAAAAAAAAAGGUGCUAGGAGUGGACUGGCAGAGUGGACAGAUGUUUAAAAAUACUCAAAAAAGGUGGCUUGUAGUUAACAAUAAAUAAUUAUAUAAAAAUAUUAUGUAAAAAUCUCAUAAAUAGUUAAAAAACAUUUUUAAAAAUGGCUAAUCAUUUUUAAAAAUGGCACAUUUCAAAAUCAUUGCUCAAGCCAUUCGGAACCAUGGUGUUCAGUGCAUAGAUCCACUUCAUUUUUGCCUGUCCUAUUUUCUGGUUAAAGUCACCCCCCCUCCAACCACCCCCAUUAUUUUUUGAAUUCCCAUAAAUUUCAGCUUUGUUGGGUCUGCAUCAUGAUAGUCUCUAAAGUGCAUAGACACUUGGUGUAGUGCACACUUCCUUUUGAUGUUAUACACGUGCUCACAGGUUCUUGUGUGUAACAUUCUUGUUAUGCGGCCUGUAAUUAAGUCCACACGGGCACGUGAGCAUGUAUAUGACAUUACGGGAACUGCAAGUCAUAUCAUCUCUAAUAUCAUAUGAACAGCAAUUAGCUUCAAAUUUAUUGUAACAUUUCUUUCUUUCCCGCAGUUUUUGAGCAGGCGUUACAGUUGCCACAUUUAAAAAAAAAUGUUCUUUAAGUUUUCUCCUGGGGCUUCUAAAAUACCAUCUGUGAGAUUGGAUACUCCUCUAUGUACUAUCUUUGGUCUCGGAAGUAGGAUAUCUUUUAGGAUUGGAUCAUCCAAUAGUAUCUGCCAAUAGUUAUUUAUGAUCUGUCUCACCUUUUCAUUAUGUCCUCCAGAGUAUUGGCAUAUAAAUGGUGUUACAUUAAUAAAUUAUUUUUCAGCCUUUUUUCUAUAUUUAAUAAUUCUAUUCUAUCCUUAUCUUGUACAUCUUUAGUCGCAGUAUUUAAAAUCUUUUCACUAUAACCUUGAUCUUUAAAAUCUUGGAUCAGUUUUUAACUUUGUUGGAUAAAAACACUUGUUUCUGCGCAGUUUCUAUUCAACCUAGUUAGUUGGCAUUUAGGUAUGUUAUUUAGCCACGGACUAAAAGUUCCUUUCCAAACCAUAAUUAAAUGGUCUAUAUAACAUUUGUAUAGCAUCAAGUUUGCAACCCAGCCACUGUUUUCGCCCAUAUAGAGCGAUUCCCAAUGCGCCAUGAAAAGAUUGGCGUAGCUGGAGGCAAACUUGGUGCCCAUCGUAUUACCACACUUUUGAAGGUAGUAGACGCCCUGGAACCAAAAAAUUUUUUCCAAUAUAAAUUGGAUUGAUUCCAGGAUGAAAUUAAUCUGGCUCUGGGGGUAAAAGGAAAAGGUUUCUAAAAUAUGUCUGACUGCAUGACUGCAUUUAGUCUUGGAUGGUGUCUAAUGCUAGUAUAUAGGGAGGAGAUGUCUGCAGACACCAAAAGAAAAUCAUCCUGCCAUUUUAAACCUUCUAAGGUUUUUAGUACACGGUUAGUAUCCUUUAGGUAUGAUGGGCGGUUUUGGACCAAUACUCAGAUAGUCUACGUGAAAUAGCAUCAAUGCCCGAAAUGAUGGGUCUACCAGGUGGUUGUGUCACACUCUUGUGUAUUUUUGGCAGAAAGUGUAAAAUUGGUUCCCUUUGAUAUCUUGGUACCAUAUAUUCGUUCUCCGUUUUAUUUAAGAUGCCAUCUAGGAAACCUUUGGAAAUUAUACUUUAAAUUUCUCUUUUAUCAUGGAGGGGAAGGGUCGGAAUUUAAUUUUUUUUUAUAUGUUACCUGAUCUCCGAGGAGUAUAUACGCCUCUUCCAAAUUAAAAAAUUCCUAUUGGUUUAAUCUUUGUAAUUAACUCCUAGUCAUUCUCUUACCGCCUCUCUUUCCUCUCUCUCUUUCCUCCUGAAUCUUUUGUUUUGAAAAGGAGGAGAUUGUUGACUCAUUAUCCUCCUUCUUUUAUGUAAUAAAGGCGAGGAAGGGUUAUUCCUAUUUUCCAGAUUAGGGAGUGGUUGAAAUCUGUUGCUUACUGAAAUAUUAUUAGAUUCUUUUUGAUAUCUAAGAUUAGAGUGAUGUCCAUUUCUCCUUUGGACCUGCCAUCUCGGGGAAUUGUAUUUGGGAUAAUUUUUCUUAGUGAUCUCUCCUUUUUUUGUAAAUUUGUGUCCUGGUUAUAUUCCUGAUGAUCCCUUUUUUAAAAAACUGAAUCUUUUCUUUGUUUUUUGAAAUUAGAUGCUCUAUUAAAUUUGCCUGCCAAUGAUCCUUUGUAAAAAGCUAAAUCUAUGGGCAAAAAAUGGAGGGCACACAGAAAUCAGUAAUCUGUGCAAUCAAAGUUCACGAAGAGUGAUCUAGAAGUCUAUUAAAUUGUCCCAACUUGUUAUAUGUAACUGCAGAUCCCCAACAAAAAUUUCUGAUGAAAAAGCAAAAAAAGGAGAAAAAAAACAUGGGGAAAAAAUAUAAUCGACAAAAUAAGCAAAAAACAAGAAAAAAAAAAGAAAAAACUUUCUGUGUUAGGGUCUGGUCGGAUCUCACCCUUAAAGAAUCAAGGAGGCCUCCUGAUAAAUUAGCAAUGAAACAUAAAUGAUUCAGAGUCUUCAAAAAACAGGAAAGGGACCUGUCAUAUACUAAAGGGAGGAAAUAAUUUUUCUCCUUUUUCUAUCUACACUUUAUUAAAAAUGUUAUUUCCUUUCAAAACUCGAUGAAAGGAUUAUUAUAUUAAAAUAAUGUUUUAGGUGACAGUUGUUGUUUAAUGUAUUUUGUUUUUCACAAAGCAGCCAAAAAAGAGAGGAGAGCAGUUAAAAUCACCCUUCACUGUCCCUUUAAAAAUGCUACUAUAGCAUGUUUGUUUUUUUGUUACUCUGAACCUUUUACGAUAAGCCCACGAUCUGGCUGUCAAAGCUCAGAAAUAUUAGUUACUGUAAGAAUAAUAAUGUAUUUUAAUAUAAAUAUAUACUUGUAUUUAUUGCCUUUUUUUUUUUAUACAGAUAUCUGCAAAAUAGAACUAAUUUGAAGAUGUUCAGGGGACUUUCUUUUCCUCAGUUAUUUCUUGCAACGUUUCUGGGAGUUGGUGCAGGUGUCUAUAUAUACAAGCCAAUCUAUGAACAAUACUACUGGGAACAGAAACGGCUGAAGGCAGAUGUAAACACCGUUGACACUGUUGAAAAAAAGAAUGAAUAGAAUAAUUAGGGAUUUUUUAUUUUUUUACUACGUUGUACACCACAAAAAAAAGCAUCUUUUAUUAUAUGUUGCAGCAUUGUGAGAGUGAAAUAUUUUUGAUCGCAGUUAACUCAGCCUAAUCAUGGAGUUUGAAUACUUUGCAAACAAUCAGGCUGGAUUUGGGCCAUCCUUGACAAUCUACAUGCAACAAGUGCUCAAAGACUUACUGUUACAUCAACAAUAUCAGAUGUUUUUGUUUGCUUUAUAAUCUUGCAGAUUUAGAAUUGUAAAUUAAAGAUUUUACUGAUUUCAUUCUGUGUCAAAUUUUAAAUUUGGGAGACGCUUACAUUUAAUCUCCAAAAAUUUCCAGUUUAACAAAGAUGUACAUCUUUGUUAAACAGAAAAACAAGAUACCCUGCCUUGUAUUACCUGCGAAUACUUUUGUAUGUAUCUUUCAAUUGCAUUUUAGCCAGUGGGAGGCUAGUGAGCUGAUGCUCUUAGCUUGUGGGAAGGCUCUUGCAUUUAAUUUGGGCCCAGAGGCAUAAAGACCAGAAAGAUGGGUGUUGUCGAGAUGUCUAAGGGAUUAAACUGUUCAUUCAUUUUUCAACUUCAAAGGUAAGAUGAUGCCGGGUUCCUCCAGGAACCAUAACCACAUUGAGAUGAAAUGGUUAUGGUUCCCAGAGUGUCCCUUUAAGUGUUCUAAUAAUUUUAUUUAGGGAUGGCUGAGAAUCAAGGGAAACCUGGUUAGGAAUAUCUUUGCUGCCAGCAUGAGCC
Molecule: long non-coding RNA, 9172 nt
Filed under: Pelobates cultripes (western spadefoot toad)
Lineage: Eukaryota; Metazoa; Chordata; Amphibia; Anura; Pelobatidae
Source: RNAcentral